Paramuricea clavata is the source of this 329-nucleotide non-coding RNA. The record is from the annotation of a GenBank genome assembly. NCBI's taxonomy places the organism in Eukaryota, Metazoa, Cnidaria, Anthozoa, Malacalcyonacea, Plexauridae.
CCUGUCCAUGCCAUUGUCCAGCUUGCUUUCCAUUCCUUCCAUCAUUGACUUCUUUACACGAAUACACUGUGAGUAGACUGGGGACGAACUAUAACAACAAAAAAUGAAUGCAACCAAUUUUGGGGAAAGUUAAUGAGUGCAAUGCAAUUCGACGUACACUUGGUAAUCGUUGAUAAAAAUUGAGUUUCUUACAUUCCAAAAAAAUUUCGUUUUAACUGAGGUUAUAUAUAUUGCUUUAACGUAUAUACCCAAGUCUCUGUGUUAUAUUUAACAAUUAUACCAUGAUAGUUUUGUUUGUGGAAACACCACGUAAAUUUAUUACUGCAAAG